Molecule: transfer RNA, 69 nt
Filed under: Marmota monax (woodchuck)
Lineage: Eukaryota; Metazoa; Chordata; Mammalia; Rodentia; Sciuridae
Description: tRNA.Ala
Source: RNAcentral
GGGGUUGUGGCUCAGUGGUAGAGCAUUCACCUAGCACGUGCCAGGCGCUGGGUUCGAUCCUCAACACCA